UUUGCGACCAUAUCCAAGCUCCU
This 23-nucleotide microRNA is filed under the name Panagrellus redivivus. RNAcentral's name for it is "prd-miR-7880c-3p". The record is from miRBase by way of RNAcentral. Lineage: Eukaryota; Metazoa; Nematoda; Chromadorea; Rhabditida; Panagrolaimidae.